UCUCCAGGCCCCACCCGACCAUCUGCCACAGGGCCGACAUUUCCUGCACUCCAGCUGCCAGCCCUGAGUUUAUUCUCUUCCUGCUUUUCUGCAGCUAACAGGAUGAACGGAUCCCAUUCAUCCAUCGCCCCCCUCCCUCCCCUUUUCCUUUAUUCCAUCUCCCGGGAAACAAGCAACUUUGAGGCAAAAGAGAAUGCCGCAUAAACACAUGCUGUUCUCGCGCCAAGCGUCCGCACGCGGAAAGCUUGUAUCGACUGUGACAUCAGACCAGUCAGUGGCUCGACCCACAAUCAGAAGCCAGGGGGGCCAUAAUCAGGCUACAUAAAGAAAUAGGGGAGGUUUUAUAAGAGAGGGAGUUAUAAGUGAGAUUGAGAUUCACCGUUCGCUGCCGCCAUCAGAGCCUGGAGCUGUUCAGCUUCGGUAGGGGGGUUGGGCCACGGUCCUGUUCCUGCUAUCACACCAGCGCCGGCACCUGCCUCGUCAGGACGCACUCCAGCCCUACACAACAGAGAACAGGGAACAGACUGGACAGCAUGUCGCUGGAAGCUGCAGGACACAUAAUCUGAAGGACCUAAACACAACAUUCCACUAGAAGGCCACACGCCAGGUGAAGCCAAACGCUACCACACACUAGCUUUCUCUUCGCCUUCACUCUACCUGGA
This is a long non-coding RNA of Ctenopharyngodon idella (grass carp), 662 nucleotides long. RefSeq lists it as uncharacterized. The transcript has 4 exons. The record is from RefSeq and is a predicted model, not a curated record. Lineage: Eukaryota; Metazoa; Chordata; Actinopteri; Cypriniformes; Xenocyprididae.